Molecule: long non-coding RNA, 23637 nt
Organism: Loxodonta africana (African savanna elephant)
Lineage: Eukaryota; Metazoa; Chordata; Mammalia; Proboscidea; Elephantidae
Exons: 3
Source: RefSeq, a predicted model, not a curated record
CUGAUUUUUUUUCAGCUAUGUUGGUGUUGAUUCCCUGGUCCUCCAGAAGUCCCACUCUGCAUUCUAAUUGCUCGAGUCUGCUCCUCUGACUUCCUAUUGCGUUGUCUAAUUCUGUAAUUUUAUUGUUAAUCUUUUGGAUUUCUACAUGCUGUCUCUCUAUGGAUUCUUGCAACUUUUUAAUUUUUCCACUAUGUUCUUGAGUAAUCUUUUUGAGUUGUUCAACAGUUUUAUCAGUGUGUUCCUUGGCUUUUUCUGCAGUUUGCCUUAUUUCGUUUGUGAUGUCUUGAAGCACUCUGUAAAUUAGUUUUUUGUAUUCUGUAUCUGAUAAUUCCAGGAUUGUAUCUUCAUUUGGGAAAGAUUUUGAUUCUUUUGUUUGGGGAAGCUGUCAUGGUCUGCUUCUUUAUGUGGUUUGAUAUGGAGUGCUGUCUCCGAGCCAUCACUGGGGAACUAGUUUUUCCAGAAAAUCCGCUAAAAAAAAAUGGAGUCAGAUCCCUAUCAGAGUUCUCCCUCUGGCUCAGGGUAUUCGGAUGUUAAUGAAGCUGCCUGGGCAGGGUGGGGGAGGGAUCAGAGAGAUUGGAGAGUAGCACCCCAGAAUAUAGCCAGGGUUGCUUGUCUUGCUUGGAAUGACUAUUAUAUCUGAGAUUCCCGCGGGGCGCGUUGCCUAUGUGUGCUGGCUGUGUGGAGAUUGCCCCCGGCGGGUCUGGCCCACUGGAGUCACGGUUAGAUCCUCUGCUGCCAGCCCCACGCCCAACGUUAAGGUUCCCGUGCUGGGACGGUGCACUCUUGACUCCAAAAUCAGCCGCUGCUUCCCGGGCACUUCUUGUCCUGCCAGCCUUGUCGCCGUGCCACCUCUGCGAACUGGCUGGUCCCCCUCCUGGGGUUAGUUCAGGUGAGUGGAGCAGCUCCCCGUGCUUGUGCCGUGACCGAGUGUCCCGGCUGGGACGCUGCUCUCCCCGCUCCAAGACCAUUCGCUGCCUCCCGGGGACUUCUCCCACCGGCUGCGUUGCCACGCCGCACGCGUGAACCGCCUGGGCCCCCUCCCGAGGUUAGUUCAGGGGGGUGGCGCAGCUUUCCUUGCUUAUGCCGUGCCUGCGCCCAGUCAAAAUUCCGGCGGGACGGUUCCCCAGCUGGGUCGCUGCUCUCCCCGCUCCAAGACCAGUCACUGCCUCCCGGGGACUUCUCCCACCGGCUGUGUUGCCACGCCGCCCGCGCGAACCAGCUGGGCCCCCUCCCAGGGUUAGGUCAGGGGCGUGGAGCAGCUCUCCGUGCUUAUGCCGUGCCUGCGCCCAGGCAAAAUCCCGGCGGAACGGUUCCCCGGCUGGGUCGCUGCUCUCCCCGCCUCAAGAUCUGUCACUGCCUCCCGGGGACUUCUCCCACUGGCUGCAUCGCCACACCACCCGCGCGAACUGUCUGGGCCCCCUCCUGGAGUGAGUUCGGGGGCUAGGGCUGGGCCCCUUGUUUAUGCCGUCUGCUCCCCUGGGCUGUGCCCCAAAUCGGGCGUCAAAGGUUACCUGACUGGUACGCUGACUCCAGGCUCUGAAAACAAUCGCUGCUUCCCCGUAUUUGUUUGUUCUCCGUCUCUAAAUCUGUGUUUGUUGUUCAGGGUUCGUAGAUUGUUAUGUAUGUGAUUGAUUCACUUGUUUUUCCGAGUCUUUGUUGCAAGAGGGAUCCGAGGUAGCGUCUAUCUAGUCCGCCAUCUUGGCCCCGCCUCUUGAGCAUUGUUAAAAAUUUAAUCUUAUUUUGUUUUUGUGAUUUCUCUACCUGAGUUGAUAUCAGGUUGUUCUAUUUUGUGACCUUGUGUUGUGUUGGUAUCUGAUAUUAUUGGUUUUCUGACCAAAGAAUUUCCUUUAGUAAUUCUUGUAGCUUUGGUUUGGUUUUUUGCAAAUUCUCUAAGCUUGUGUUUAUCUGUAAAUGUCUUAAUUUCACCUUCAUAUUUGAGAGAGUUUUGCUGGAUAUAUGAUUCUUGGCUGGCAGUUUUUCUCCUUCAGAGCUCUAUUUAUGUCAUCCCAUUACCUUCUUUCCUGAAUGGUUUCUGCUGAGUACUCUGAACUUAUUGAUUCUCCUUUGUAGGUGACUUUUCAUUUAUCCCUGGCUGCUUUUAAAAUUUUCUCUUUAUCUUCAGUUUUGGUGAGUUUGAUGAUAAUAUGUCUUGGUGACUUUCUUUUGGGAUCUAUCUUGUAUGGGGUUCGAUGAGUAUCUUGGAUAGAUAUCCUUUCGUCUUUCUGGAUGCCAGAGAAAUAUUCUGCCAACAGAUCUUCAACUAUUCUCUCUGUAUUUUCUAUUAUUCCUCCCUGUUCUGGAACUCCAAUCACACACAAGUUAUUCUUCUUGGUAGAGUCCCACAUGAUUCUUAAGGUUUCUUCAUUUUUUUAAAUUCUUUUAUCUGAUUUUUCUUCAACUAUGUUGAUUUCAAUUGCUUUAUUGUCCAACUCCCCCGCUCUGCAUUCCAAUUCCUCCAUUCUACUCCUCUGACUUCCUAUUGAGUUGUCUAAUUCUGUAAUUUUAUUGUUAGACUUUUGAAUUUCUGAAUGCUGCCUGUCUAUGGAUUCUUGCAGCUUAUUAAUUUUUUCACUAUAUUCUUAAAUAAUCUUUUUGAUUUCUUCAACAGCUUUAUCAGUGUGUUCCUUGGCUUUUUCUGGGUAUUGUCUUAUUUCAUUUCUGAGAUCAUCCCUGAUGUCUUGAAGCAUUCUGUAUAUUAGUUUUUUGUAUUCUACUUCUGGAAAUUCCAAGAAUGUAUCUUCAUUUGGCAAAGAUUUUGAUUCUUUCUUUUGGGGGUUUGUAGAAGCAAUCAUGGUCGGCUUCUUUAUGUGAUUUGAUAUCGACUUCUGUCUCCAAACCAUUUAUAAGUUAUUGUAAUGAUUUAUUUUAUGUUUGCUUACUGAGUCUUUUCUUCUUGUUUUGUUUUGUUUUAAUACACCCAGAUGGGUACUAGAGUGCUCUAACUUAAUUGUUGGAGCCUUUGAAUCACUUAUGUCCUUUUGCCAGCUGGUUUGAGCUGUUACCCAGUAUAUGAGCCUAUGAGUCCAUUCACUGUUUUUGAAUAGAAUCAGCUCAGGUGUAUUGAUAGUGGGUCACCUAGUGUGUGGUGUAGGCUCUCCCCUCCUAUCUUAGAGGAGUUGUGGUGAUGGCUGUAUGCACUGGUUUCUAGUAUCGGCAGGGGUCACAGUCCAAGGAGGGCAGGGUGCUGACAGCCUUCCCCCAAGUGGCAGUGAGGAAGGAGCAUCUAUGUUCUCUAGAGUGCUCUGGUGGGUGGGCUCUGUAGCUGUAUCUUAGGCACCCAAUGCCUGUACCUCUAAAAAUUGGUAAGUGUCACAAUCCUAAGACCCCUUUAGCAGUCGGUUAGGUGGUGUGGGUGGAGCCUCAGUCCUCUUCUGUGGAUCAGUGAGGUAUCUGUUUAAUAGGCAGAGUGGUAUCAGACCUCCAAAACUUGCUGUUCCACAGCUCAACUACAACAAUUACAGUCAGAUCUCGAAAAGAAUUGCUUUGCAUUAAAUAGCCGUGUAGGGGUGAAAGCCAAAGACGGUGGAAAUCUUAUGCCUGGAUGGUGCUGGUUCUGUUCUGCUAUUCCAGUUUAGAGAAAUCAGGAAAGGAUUUUUCACCUGAUGGUUAAUUGCUGUUUUUCCAGGCCAGGAAAAUGGGUUAGAAAAAAAAAAUCCCGCAAAGUACUUCAGUCUCUGCCCCAGGGAAUUCCUGUGUUAAUGAAGCCUGCUGGGGCAGGGAGGGGAGGCAUCGGAUACAUAGGAGAGAGUAAAAUAGAUAAACUCAACUUAUCUUGUUUGGUGUGGACCUUUUUAUCUGAGAUUCCAGAGGGGUGUGUAGCCUGUGUGUGCUGGCUGGGUCCCCGGGGAGAUUGCCCCAGGGGGUUAGGGCUGCAUCCCUGUUUGCCUUGUCUCAGGAAGCCAUGAUCAUCUCUACAGCUCUUGCCCCAAGGCUGCACAAGGGUUCAGGUUUGGGGCGUGGCUUGCCGGGCUCUGGAACUGGUCAGUGCCCCAGUGAGUGGAUUCUCACUCCCCUGAGGGCUCAGGGCUGGGGCACGGCUAGUCGGUCUCUGGGACUGCUUGCUGGUACAGCACAGGCGGCUUCAUGCUCCCUUGAGGGCUCAGGGCUGGGGGGCGGCACGCUAGUCUCCGGGACUGCUCACUGCUUCAGUGCAGGUGGCUUCACACUUUCCUGAGGGCUAAGAGCUGGGAAGCGGGUCCCAGUCUCCAGGACUACUUGCUCCUUCAGCACACACGGAUUCUCGCUCCCCUGAGGGCUCAAGGUUGGGGCGUGGCUCGCUGGUCUCCGGGACUGCUCACUCCUUCAGCACGUGGAUUCUCGCACCCCUGUCACUCAGGUCAAUUCCCUAGUUCUGAGUUUGAUGGUCAGGGUUUGUAGAUUGUCAUGUAUGUAAUGGAUUCAUUUGUUUUUCCAAGUCUUUGUUGCAAGAGGGGUCAGCAGGAGCUUCUCCCUAGUCAGCCAUCUUGGUCCUGCCUCUGUUGUAGUUUUCUUUGUAUAUAUCUUUUACAUCUCUGCUUAUACAUAUUCCUCAGUUGUUUAUCUUCUUGGGGGCUGUUGUAAAUGGUAUUGAUUUGGUGAUUUCCUCUUUGAAGUUCUCUUUGUGUCGAGGAAUGGAGCUGAUUUUUGUAUGUUUAUCUUGUAUACUGAUACUUUGCUGACAUCUUCUAUUAGUUCCAGUAGUUUUCCUGUGGAUUCUGUAGGUUUUCUGUGUAUAAGAUCUUAUCGUAUGCAAAUAGAGAUACUUUUACUUCUUCCUUACCAAUUCGAAUGCUCUCUAUUUCUUUUUCUUGCCUAAUUGCUCCGGCUAGGACCUUCAGCAAAAUGUUGAAUAAAAGUGGUGAUAAAGGGCAUCCUUGUCUGGUUCCCAUUCUCAAGGGCAAUGCUUUUUGUCAUCAUAUUUGAGAGAAAGUUUUGCUGGAUAUAUGAUUUUUGGUUGGCAGUUUUUUUCCUUCAAGGCUUUAUAUAUGUCAUCCCAUUGCCUUCUUGCCUGCAUGGUUUCUGCUGAGUAGUCCGAGCUUCUUCUUACUGACUCUCCUUUGUAGCUGACUUUUUGUGUAUUCCUAACUGCUCUAAAACCCUUUAUUUUUGGUUUUGGCAAGUUUGAUUAUAAUACAUCUUGGUGACUUUCUUUUAAGACCUACCUUAUGUGGGGUUGGAUGAGCAUCUUGGAUAGAUAUCUUCUCAUCUUUCUUGACAUCAGGGAAGUUUUCUGCCAACAAAUGUUCAACAGUUCUUUCUAUUUAUGUUAUGCCCCUCCCCGUUCUGGUACUCCAAUCAUUCGUAGGUUAUUCCUCUUGAUAGUGUCUCACAUAAUUCUUAGAGUUUCUUCAUUUUUUAAAAAAUUCUUUUUAUCUGAUUUUUCCUCAAAUAUGUCGGUUUAAAUGCUUUAUCUUCAAUCUCACUAAUUCUGACUUCCAUUGCCUCAAUUCUGCUCCUAUGACUUUCUAUCAAGUUGUCUAAUUCUGUAAUUUUACUGUGAAUCUUCUGAGUUUCUGAUUGCUGUCUCUCUAUGGAUUCUUGCAGCUUAUUAAAUUUUUCAUUAUGUUCUUGAAUAACCUCUUUAAUUUCUUCAACUACUUUAUCUGUGUGUUCCUUGGCUUGUUCCGCGUAUUGCCUGAUGUCCUUCCUGAUCCCUUGGAGAGUUCUGUAUAUGAGUCUUUUGUAUUCUACCUCUGGUAAUUCCAGGAAGUUUUCUUCAUCUGGAAGAUUUCUUGAUUAUUUGUUUUGGGAACUUGCUGAAGCCAUCAUGGUCUGCCUCUUUAUGUGAUUUGAUAUUGACUGUUGUCUCUGAGCCAUCCAUAAGUUCUUGUAUUUAUUUCAUGUUUGCUUACUGUGUCCUAGGUCCUUGUUUUGUUUUGAUAUGCCCAAAUAGGCUGCUCGAGUGAGCUAAUUUGAUUACUAGUGCCUUUAAAGCCCUAAUGUCCUGUCGCCAAAUGGUUAGAUCUUUUACUAGGAAUGUGAGUCCAGGAGUUCAUUUAGUUUUCUUGUAUUGAUUCAGCUCAGAUGUCCAGGUAGUCGGUUACCAAGUGUGUGGUGCAGGCUCUCGCCUACAAUCCUAGAUGAGUAGGGGUGAUUGGUGUAGUCACAGGUAUCUGGGUGCAGUAGGGGUAUAGACACUGAACAAGGCAGGGGGCUGACAACCAUCCCCGAGAAUCUGUGAGGAAAGUGUGUUCCCUAGAACGGAUAGGUGGGUGGGUUUUGCACCUGGACUGUGAGCAUCCAGUGGUGUUGGUUGUAAGGAUUAGGAUGCACCACUUAUUCCAGACCCCUGUCGCAGGUAGCUAGGUGGCGUGGGUGGAGCCAGCAUUUCACAGGCCCCUGAUGUGGGUAGGCGAGGACCCUGCUUAAUAGGCAGAACGGUGUCAAAUGUCAUGAACCUGCCUGUCCGGUAUAUAGCUGAAACAGUUGAAGUUAAACUUCAGGUAUAUACCCAGCUGUACUGUGCUAAUGAGGGCCUACACUGUUGAAAUGGGCCCACAAAGGCCUAUGCAGGGGUGGAGGCAUUCAGUGUCCGUGGACCCUUAUGCUUGUGCCUAGGCAAAGGAGCUCUUUCUGCCCUGAGUUCGUGGCUUGGGGGAGACAGCAGAUUAUUUUUUCCAUGUUUGUUAAUUUAUUUCCUCUCCAAGGCUGGGAGAAUGGCUCAGGGCACGUGACGGGUUCUACUUCCGGCCCAGAGGUUGCAGCCAGCUGGGACUCAGUGCAGAGCAGGAAGGGGGUAGGAGUUUGCUGUGAGAAAGGAGAGGAAUCUAAGAGAGUGAAUCCAUCUGGUACCUAUGCUGAAGUGCUCUUGAGGCCACUGGUAUGAACAUGCUAACGUUAGGUUUCCAUCUACUGGUAUCCUUUGGGUAUUGACAUACAGUGAGCUAGUGCCCUGUGGCACGGAGCCCAAGGCUGAAUCCCAGUCCGUUACAUGGCACAGUGGAUGGGUGAUUUUCUUGGCAGAGCUCAGUGGGAAGAUGGCCCCCACGUUCCAGACCAGCCCCUGGCUGCCCCAUCAUGCUCAGGGGUAGGUACCAAAGAUGAGUGGCUGAAAGAAUAAUGUCUCCUAGCGCCGGAGGCAUCAAGAUCUCAGCUUGGCAGGAUAAUGGAAUUCCUGCCCUCUCAUUCCCCACACACCUGUAGGUGACCCCUAGAAUUCAUCCCAUACCUUAAGUAGUAAGUGCCCCGGAAGAGCUCCUGCUGCCUUCCUCCUUACAUUAAGGCCUGGGGGAAGCUGGGAUGGCCCAGCAUCUGAUUUGGGUUCCAGAACCCAUCUGGAGGUCCUUGUGAUUGGUUGGGGCCCUGCCACACAUUCUAGCCUUGGCAGGCCUUUCCCUGGGGUGCUGGGUUCUGUCUAUCUAGAUAAUGACUGAGGUCCAAUCCGGUAAAACCUAUAGACACACAGUGCUGCCACCUGCCUGAUUAUUACUAUUGCCACCUGCCUGGUGAUUACUAUUGCCACCUGCCUGAUGAUUAGUGUUGCUGCUUCCUCUGUGGCUUUCCUAAGGGAUUGCCACCUGAAAUAGCCAGCUUGCGUUUGUCCUGUUUCUCUGAUCUUUGUCACUUGGACUGCCAUUCACCCCCUUUGGGUAUAACUCUGUGGCCCUCCAAAUUCUGAGUCUACUUGGUCCGGGCUCAUUGCCCUUUUCUUGCUUACCUGGCGUUGAGUCUUGGGACCACCAACCCCCCACUUGAACUGUAAAGCCUUUGCUGAAAAUAGAGGAAGUAGUCCACCUUAUUGCAUAGUCCACUCACACCUGCAUGGGAAGCUGGGACAUCUCAGAGUGCCCUUGGGGUGAAGUCACACUUUGUGCCUCCCCUGCCAGGAAGCCUUAAGGUCAGGAGCCACAAGGGAUUUGCCAGGGUCCUGUAAGAUAGAAUGCUGUGUGCUGCCAAACAGCCAACUGUCCAGAUUUGUUAGCAAAAGCUGGCUGCUCUAACUUUUUGACAAUUUUCUCUUCCCUCAGUAGUCCACUGGGAAAUAAGAGUCUCCAGGGUGAAUUGUCAUUGGGAGGAAUUUGGAGCUGCCGUACAUCAUUGAUACGUGGCUGAGGAGAAGCCAGCAAAAGGAUUACCACCAUUUCCCCAAAAGCUGAUCAUUUUCCAAAUACCUUCCACCUUCCUCACAGCACAUUGUGGUCAUUAAAGAAACACUGUCAUUUAUCUUUUUUUUUUUUUUUUGAUUUAUUUUGUUGUUGUUGAGAAUAUACGCAGCAGAACAUACACCAAUUCAACAGUUUCUACACGUACCAUUUAGUGACACUGAUUACAUUCUUUGAGUUGUGCAACCAUUCUCACCCUCCUUUUCUGAGUUGUUCCUUCCCCAUUAACGUAAAUUCACUGUCCCCUAAGGUUCCUGUCUAAUCUUUCAAGUUACUGUUGACAGUGUGAUCCCAUAUAGAUAGUUCUCUGCACAUUCUUUGCAAAGACCUGGAGUUAGAAAACCAAAAGGGAAAACCGUUUUUGGUAUUUCUCAAGCUGAAAGAACUGAAGAAAAAAUUCAAGCCUCAAGUUACUAUAUUAAAGGACUCUAUGGGCAAAAUGGAAACCCUGGUGGUGUAGUGGUUCAGAGCUACGGCUGCUAACCAAAAGGUAGGAAGUUCGAAUCUACCAGGCGCUCCUUGGAAACCAUAUGGGGCAGUUCUACUCUGUCCUAUAGGGUCGCUAUGAGUCGGAAUCGACUCAACAGCAAUGGGUAGGUAUGGGUAAAAUGUUGUGUCAUCUGCAUAAGGCAAGUUGUUAAUGAGUCUUCCUCCAAUGCUGAUGCCCCAUUCUUCAUAUAGUCCAGCUUCUUGGAUUAUUUGCUCAGCAUAUACAGAUUGAAUAGGUACGGUGAAAGGAUACAACCCCGACACACACCUUUCCUGACUUUAAACCACUCAGUAUACCCUCGGUCUGAGGACUUGAAGCACUUACUGAUGAAGAUCAAAGACCACAGCCUUCAGUAUGGAUUACACUUGAACAUAAAGAAAACACAAAUCCUCACAACUGGACCAAUAAACAACAUCAUGAUAAAUGGAGAAAAGAUUGAAGUUGUCAAGGAUUUCAUUUUACUCAACACCCAUGGCAGCAGCAGUCAAGAAAUCAAAGGACACAUUGCAUUGGAGAAAUCUGCUGCAAAAGGCCUCUUUAAAGUGCUGAAAACAAAGAUGUCACCUCAAGGACUAAGGGUCUUUGUUGUAAAGAGGGCUCAACGGAAGCGUCUGUCUAUUCUGCCACCUGGGCUCCGCCUCCUCGAUUCACUUUCAUAUCUCAAAAGUGAUUGAUUCAAGAUACAAGCUAAUCUUGUAGAUUGAGUCGUGCCUCAUUAACAUAACUGCCUCUGACCCUGCCUCGUUAACAUCAUAGAGGUAAGAUUUCUAGCACAUAGGCAAAUCCCAUCAGAUGACAGAAUGGUGGAACAAUCACACAAUACUGUGAAUUAAGGCCUAGCCAAGUUGGCACACAUUUUUUGGGGACACAAUCCAAUCCAUAACAGGUCCAUGAAGACGGCAACGUGGCACUGGGCAGAGACAAUUGCAGGAUCAUGGGAGCCUUGAGUGAAGUGUUGUGAGGAAUUCUUUUACCAAAGUGGUCAGUCAACCACAAUGUAUUAGUUGAGCCUCUACUGUUUCUCCUAAUUGAGUGUCUAUUGUGCCAGACACAUUGGUUGGCACAACGUCUAUUGACUCAGAUCCCUGAGAUGUCAAUUUAGAGCUUGCGUGGAAGACCCUCACCUUCAUGUUGGGAAAUGUUCACUGCCUUGAGGAGAGCGCUGAAGGGCGGGCAUCCUCCAGAAGGGGGUGAGGGUCCAACUAGGGAGGGCCUCUAUCCCUGUUGCUCUUUGGGAGAGGAGGACUCCUGAGUGUUCUCUGCCUCAGACUUACUGGAGACAAGGCCAUCGAAUGUUAGUGCUCAUUUGGGGGACCCUUCACUGUAUGAAUGGGGAGAGUGAGCCUGAGGGAGGAGAAAGCACUUCCCCAGGCCACACAGCAAGCUGGUGACACAGCCAGGCCUAGCACUCAGAUCUCCUGACAAUAGCUGUGGAAGAGAAGAAAGGAGAAGAGAAGGCAUAAAGGUUGUUUGAUGAAGAGAAGAUGUCUGAAUUCCUCUUGCAUGUUGUUUAUGGGCCAUUUGAUGAGUUGUCGGCCCAAAGUUAGGAAGCAUCCUCUCUCUCUCUCUUUUUUUACAUCUAGACAGAAAGGAGAGAAAAAUAAGAGUCUAGAAAAUAAGGAGAAAUGAAAUAGAAAACAUUAUUUAUAAGAGCCCCUUACCGCUGAAUCACAAAAUUGAAAAUGAUUGGUAUAAAUGGCUUUCAUUGAAUAAGGGCAAAGUAGCUCUCGUAUGGACUUUUCUAUUGGCAAAAAAACCACUGUGCUUGGUCCAAGCACUUUGGCCAAAGAACAUUUGCCCUUGUUAAAACAAAGGCAUGCUUGGCUUGCUGUAGGACCAGAUUUCCUUAUUUCUCCCCUGUAUUUGCCCUGGAACGUGGCCAUCUCCCCUGAGCGUUCUAAUUGAAUUGAUCUCUAAGACCAUGGCGUAUAUGUUCAUUUGUUUUAACUUGACUCUGAUACCUUCCUCCGUUAAACUUUAAAUGAAGUUGUAAUUAUUUUUAAAAAUAUAAAUUGCAAAGUGUGCUGGCAAUUCAUAAUUACUUCGCAAUGCAUCAGGAUGAGCCAGUAAAGGUGGUCCUCUUUUCUUUUCCCCUUUGCGUUCUGUAUUGCUGCCUUGUGUGUUUCUCAUUUAGGACUUGUUAGUGUAAAUCUCCCUCAUACAUCAUUGGAAGCGUUAGGAUUUCUAGAGGAGGAAUGUCAUCUGCCUUGGGCUCUCUAAGAGAGAGUGGAUGAUGUCGGGUUUUCUACCUCUCAUUGCUACUGUCCUUAGUGGAAAGGCAUUUCUCUAAUAAGCUAUCAUAUUUGGAAAAGCAGGGUUCUGCUAGCGCUGUAUAUUAUACCAAUGUGGGGCGUUUUUCUGCACUUUCUGUGGCAUCCCCAGGCUCCUCCCCAGGCUCAGCCUCGUGGCAAUGGAUCUUUCGUGGGCAGGAGAAGGCAGUUAACCUCUGCUCUGCUCCUUUCCUUUGGAGCCCAGCACGUAAAGAGUCUUUUCUUUUAUACUCUCUCAGAGAUCCGCAAACAGUAUUUUUAAUGGAUUAUUAUUAAUGGAUGUUUGCAGCUGUUUCUUCUCAUUUUGAGUCGUGCCACAUCAGAAAAUGAAGGUCCAGAAGGCUUGAUUCCAUCCAUGUCAUUAAGGUUGACUCUAUUUUGAGGAGGCGGCUCUUCCCUAGUCAUCUUUUGAGUGCCUUGCAACCUCGGGGGCUCAUCUUCCAGCAUUACAUCAGACAAUGUUCCGCUGCUAUUUAUAAGGUUUUCACUGGCUAAUGCUUUUUAGAAUUAGACUGCCAGGCCCUUCUUCCUGGUCUGUCUUAGUCUGGAAGCUCAGCUGAAACCUGUCCUCCAUGGGUGACCCUGCUGGUAUCUCAAUACCAGUGGCAUAGCUUCCAGCAUCACAGCAACACGCAAGCCCCCACAGUACGACAAACUGACAGAUACGAGGGAGUCUCGUUUACUAGCUCUAUUUUCUUUCUCUGCUAUUCCUCUAAGAAUGUCAGACUAAAUUACAUCAGAUGCUUCUGUCUUGAUAAGAUAUGAUACCUCUGCUCCAUCCUCUCUCACCAUUCAGCUUGUCCUCCUGUCUUGAACAGGAAGGAGCUUCGUUUGGUAUGAUUUGUGUUUGAAGAAGCCGUAUUGACUACUGUUUAUCACUCGGGUUUUCCCUAGGUACUCAUAAAUGACUGCCUUAAUAACUGUCCUCACAGCUUACCAGAUAUUGAAAUUAAAUUUGUGACUUUAAUUCCCUGAGUUCUCUGAGGACUUUUUUUUUUUUUAUGAAAAACGGAACAAGGCGGUUUCAUGACUCAUCACCACUCUUACCGUAAUAGAGCAGUGUGAAAAAGAAGAACAAAUCUGCAGGGAAACCAAUUUCAGUUUUUGCCUUCCAAAUGAUUAUUAUAAAAAUUAGCAAAUAAAAUUAUUUUUGAAAUAUGAAAAGACAUCCUGUUAAAACUAUUUAUUGCACUCAUACAUAUUUUUAAGUGUCAUGCAGAUGCCUAGAAAAUGUUAAUCCACUAGUUUAUAGUCCUUACUUUAUGCUGGCAACUGGAAAUUGAGUCUUUUUAUAUUCGGAUUGUUGCACAGUUGAAAAACAGCUGAAUAAUGGCACUUUUGAAAAGGUUAUUUUCUAAGUACUGUCGGUGGGCCAUAUGCUAAGGUACUCUUUCAGGUUGCUGAGGCAACCCGCUUGCAAUUGCUGUUCAUAUGUCCAGCUCCCCAAUAAUGCACUGACCUGAGACCCUCACCGAAUGCAGUACAGGUGCACUGUCGGUGGACUGUAGGUGGGCUAUACCUACCUCUCCGUCUUUGGAAAUGACUGGCAAGAGAUCAAUGAGCGUUUGAUAGCAGUCAGUAGAAUGCCUUGAAAGAGACGGAUGCAUAGAGCAUUCACUGAACAACACCAAGAGCUUUGGUGGGGUUUAGGUUUCUAAAGUUGCCUAGCCAAGAGUCUGUGUAUUACGGAAGCUAAGAAUGUGUGGGCCAGCCAACUAUCCAUCAGUCAUGGUAGAGGAGUAAUCAGUUUUCCAUCGCCUGAAGCAGUUUGGAUCCAGCGAGCAACAUGCUGAUGCUGCAGUCCCUUUCCUUGAUGUUUCAUUGGAAAGUGGUAAGGCGUCUUUCCUUUCUGAGCGGGUACCUCCAUCCCCUUUCCAAUGGUUUUGUCUAGAGGCAAACGAUGUUUAAGAGUGCUUUUGUCAUGUGCUCUUUUCCAUAGGUGUGGCAGAUACUCUGGAAGCCGUAUCAUGAUGCCUUUUGCUUUAGGUGCGUGUCAUGACUAUAAUGCAUAGGUCUUCAACUUGUUACUGUGAAUAUUUUUAUUUCAAAGCCUGCCAUCCAACGCCGUGCAGCAACCAAAUGAGCAAUGAGAAGAUACCACACUAUGUCAUCCCUGACUGGGAUGAUAUUUAAUAUGAGAGAACAUGCAUUAGUUACCUACCAACUUGACAGGAAUGGGUUCCAAAUCUGACGCGUCAUGGCCUCACUCCUCACCAAUGUGUUCCUGGAAGGGGGAGCCCAUGGUGAGCUUCCUUGCGUUUGUUAGUGGGAGGGAAGCCUUGGGAUUCAGGGGAAAGUAUCUGGAUGGCCUUUUAAGAAGACAUUCUAUUUUCAGUGGAGUAGAAAAGUCUGCACUUGAGCCUAUGGCAUGUUCUUUUCUCUGGAUGAACACAGUGACUGUCUUGCUCACAUUUUUCUGAUAUUUAUUCUGCAUAUCAGCCUCGUGAGACCCUCCCACUCUCCUGAAUGAAUUUCCAGGCAUUACCUGCAUGCUGUGUUCCUGCGGAGGGGUGGCAGUAACCUCUGCAAAGAUACACCGGAGCUUCUCUGGAGAAAGCGUAAGCGCAGUGAAGUGUGUGUGGCUGUACAAUUUAAUGGCUCUACAGGUAAUUUUUUUUUGAAGGCAGGAUCUGGCAUUUAAUCAAAUUGAGAGUCAUUAUGUAAAUUUAAUCACCUUGCAACACGCUAGUAAUUUUAUUGUCUCCUUUUUCUUUGUAAGUGCUUAGAUACAAGUUGAGCCUGGAAUUCCAGAGGUAGAGUACUGCUGAUUGGAGACGUGUUGGGGAAAAUGUAUUGUGCAAAUGAGAUAGAGCCUCUUUCUUGCUCUUGAUUGUGUCCUUGUAUGUAUACAGAUAUCCAACAAAGGGUUUUUAGAGUAAAGUGUGCCUGUUUAAGACUUUUUUUUUUAAUGGACUAUAUGAAAUCUGUUUGUGUCAAUUGGAAAACUUUUAUACCGAGUGAGAUGUGGUUCAAACUCACCCUAACCCAUGGGUCUUCACACCAGUGUAACCCCUUUGGGCUUGGCCUCUGGUCACUGGAAUGCUAUUUGAUGUUGGAUUACUUAUGCUGUAAAGUCUACUUAAAAUUGGACAUAGUAUUUCCAUUUGUCAACAGCAAUUUUUUAAAAUUGAACUUUAGAUAAAGGUUUACAGAACAAAGUAGUUUCUCAUCAAACAAUUAGUACACACAUUGUUAUAUGGUAUUGGUUAACAACCUCACAACAUGUCAACACUCUCCCUUCUUAACCCUGGGUUCCCUAUUACCAGCUUUCCUGUUCCCUCCUACUUUCCAGUCCCUGCCUCAGGGCUGGUGCGCCCCUUUCGUCUUGUUUUGUUCCAUGGUCAUGUUCAAUCUUUGGCUGAAGAGUGAACCUCAUGACCUCAUUACUGAGCUGGAAGGGUGUCUAGGGGCCAUACUCUCAGGGUUUCUCCAGCCUCUGUCAGGCCAGCAAGUCUAGUCUUUCUUUUUGAGUUAGAAUUUUGUUCUACAUUUUUCUCUAGCCCUGUCCGGGACCCUGUAUUGUGAUCCCUGUCAGAGCAGUCAGUGGUGGGAGCCAGGCACCAUCUGGUUGUACUGGACUCAGUCUGGUGCAGGCCGUGGUAGAUGUGGUCCAUUAGUCCUUUGGACUAAUCUUUCCCUUGUGUCUUUAGUUUUCUUCAUUCUCCCUUGCUUCCGAAGGGGUUAGACCAGUGGAGUGUCUUAAAUGGCCACUUACAGGCUUUUAAGACCCCAGACACUACUCACCAAAGUAAAAUGUAGAACAUUUUCUUUAUAAACUAUGUUACGCCAAUUGAGCUAGAUGUUCCCCACGACCAAUAAUUUGGUCCAUGGGGGAAUUUUGAUGUGUCUGUAGAGCUUCCAUGACCUUGCCUUGUACAAGUUGUGCUGCCUUCCCCAGUACUGUCUUACUCUUCACCAAAGCUACCACAUAUCUAUCGUCUAUUUAGUGUUUUUCCAUCCCUACCCCUCCCCUCCCUCAUAACCAUCAAAGAUUGUUUCUUUUUGUGUGUGAACCUUUUCAUGAGUUUCUAUAGUUGUGGUCUCAUACAAUAUUUGUCCUUUCAUGAUUGCCCUAUUUUACUCAGCAUAAUGCCCUCGAGAUUCAUCCAUAUUAUAAGAUGCUUCACAGAUUCAUCUUUGUUCUUUAUUGCUGGGUAAUACUCCCUUGUGUGUAUGUAUCACCGUUUGUUUAUCCAUUCAUCUGUUGGUGGACAUCUAGGUUGUUUCCAUCUUUUUGCUAUUGUGAACAGUGCUGCAGUGAACAUGAAUGUGCAUAUGUCUAUUCAUGUGAUGACUCAUUUCUCUAGGAUAUAUUCCUAGGAGUGGGAUUGUUAAAUCAUAUGGUAUUUAUAUUUCUAGCUUUUUAAGGAAGUGCCAUAUCGAUUUCCAAAGUGGUUGUACCAUUUUGCAUUCCCACCGGCAGUGCAUAAGAGCUCCAAUCACCCCGCAGCCUCUUGAACAUUUAUUAUUUUCUGUUUCUUUGUUUUUUUUUUAUUCGUGCCAGUAAUGGCGGGGUGACAUAGUAUCUCAUUGUGGUUUUGAUUUGCAUUCCAGAGCAUUUCCUCAUGUGUCUGUUAGCCACUUGAAUGUCUUCUUUGGUGAAGUGUCUGUUCAUUUCCUUUGCCCAUUUUUUAAUUGGAUUUUUGUCUUUUUGUUGUAGAAGUGUUGGAUUUUCUUGUAGAUUUAGAGAUUACAACUUUGUCAGAUUUGUAAUAGCCAAAUUUUUUUUCCCAGUCUGUAGGUUCUCUUUAUACUCUUUUAGUGAAGUCUUUUGAUGAGUAUAAGUGUUUAAUUUUUGGAAGAUUCCAGUUACCUAGCUUAUCUUCUGGAGUUUGUUUGUUUGUAUGGUUUGUAUCCUUUUAAUGCCAUGUAUUAGGGCCUCUAGUGUUGAUCCUAAUUUUUUCUUCUAUGAUCUUUAUAGUUUUAUAUUUAGGUCUUUGAUCCAUUUUGAGUUAGUUUUUGUGUAUGGUGUGAGGUAUAGGUCCUGUUUCAUUUUUUUGCAGAUGGACAUCCAGUUUUGCCAGCACCAUUUGUUAAAAAGACAGUCUUUUCCUCAUUUUAUGGACUUUGGGCCCUUGUCAAAGGUCAAGUGACCUUGGCUUCACUAAGGAUGACAUUCAGGUAGCUAACAGAUACAUGAGGAAAUUCUUACGACCAUUAACCAUUAGAGAAAUUCAAAACUACAAUGAGAUUCCAUCUCACUCCAACAAGGCUGGCAUUAAUCCAAAAAACACAAAAUCAUAAGUGUUGGAGAGGUUGUGGAGAGACUGGAACACUUAUACAUUGCUGGUGGGAAUGUAAAAUGGCAUUGGAAUAGAAUUGGAAAUAGAUUUGGCAGUUCCUUAAAAAGCUAGAAAUAGAACUAUCAUACGAUCCAGCAAUCCUGCUCCUUGGAAUAUAUCCUAGAGAAAUAAGAGCCUUUACACGAACAGACAUAUGCACACCCAUGUUCAUUGCAGCAGUGUUUACAAUAGCAAAAAGAUGGAAGCAACCAAAGUGCCCAUCAACGGAUGAAUGGAUAAAUUAUGGUAUAUUCACACAAUGGAAUACUAUACAUCAAUAAAGAACAAUGAUGAAUCCGGGAAACAUUUCGUAACAUGGAAGAAUCUGGAAGACAUCAUGCUGAGUGAAAUUAGUCAGUUGCAAAAUGACAAAUAUUGUAUGAGCCCACUAUUAUAAGAACUCAAGAAAUAGUUUAAACACAGAAGAAAAUAUUCUCUGAUGGUUACGAGAGUGGGGUGGGAGGGAGGAAGAGGAGUAUUCACUAAUUAGAUAGUAGAUAGGAACUACUUUAGGUGAAGGGAAAGAUAGCACAUAAUACAGGGGAGGUCAGCACAACUGGACUAAACCAAAAGCAAAGAAGUUUCCUGAAUAAACUGAACGCUUCAAAGGCCAGCGUAGCAGGGGCGGGGGUUUGGGGACCAUGGUUUUGGGGGACAUCUGGGUCAACUGGCAUAAUAAAAUCUAUUAAGAAAUCAUUCUGUGUUCCACUUUGGAAAAUGGUGUCUGGGGUCUUAAACACUAGCAAGUGGCCAUCUAAGAUGCAUCAAUUGGUCUCGACCCACCUGGAGAAGAAGAGAAUGAAGAACACCAAAGACUCAAGAUAAUUAUCAGCCCACGAGACAGAAAGGGUCACAUAAACCGGAGACUAUAUCAGCCUGAGAUCAGAAGAACUAGGUAGUGCCCGGCUACAAUCAAGGACUGCCCUGACAGGGAACACAACAGAGAACCACUGAGGGAGCAGGAGAGCAGUGGGAUGCAGACCUCAAAUUCUUGUCAAAAGACCAGACUUAAUGGUCUGACUGAGACUAGAGGGACCCCAGAGGUCAUGGUCCCCAGAACUUCUGUUAGCCCAAGACAGGAACCAUUCCCAAAGCCAACUCUUCAGACAGGGAUUGGACUGGACUAUAAGAUAGAAAAUGAUACUGGUGAGGAGUGAGCUUCUUGGAUCAAGUAGACACAUGAGACUAUGUGGGCAACUCCUGUCUAGGGGGGAGAUGUGAAGGCAGAAGGGGACAGAAGCUGGCUGAAUGGACACGAAAAUAGAGGGUGGGUCAGGCGCACCAUAGCCCUCAAAGUGACAUCUUUGCUUUUUAACCCUUUAAAGAGGUCUUUUGUAGCAGAUUUGCCCAAUGCACUAUGUUGUUUGACUUCUUGACUGCUGCUUCCAUAGAUGUUGGUUGUGGAUCCAAGUACAAUGAAAUACUUGACAAGUUCAGUCUUUCCUCCGUUCAUCGUGAUGUUGCUUAUUGGUCCAGUUGUGAGGAUUUUUCUUUUCUUUAUGUUGAAGUGUAAUCCAUACUGAAGGCUGUAGUCUUUGAUCUUCAUCAGUAAGUGCUUCAAGUCCUCUUUGCUUUCAGGAAGCAAGGUUGUGUCAUCUUUGUAUCAUAGGUUGUUAAUGAGUCUUCCUGCAGUCCUGAUGCUGCAUUCUUCUUCUUCAUAUAGUCCAGCUUCCCAGAUUAUUUGCUCAGCAUGCAGAUUGAGUAGGUAUGGUGAAAGGAUACAACCCUGACUCACACAUUUCCUGACUCUAAACCAUGCAGUAACCCAUUGUUCUGUUUGAAUUGUUCUUGGUCUAUGUACAGGUUCCUCAUGAGUACAAUUAAGUGCUUUGGAAUUCCCAUUCUUCACAGUGUUAUCCGUAGUUUAUGAUCCACACAGUCGAAUGUCUUUGCAUAGUCAAUAUAACACAGGUAAACAUCUUUCUGGUGUUCUCUGCUUUUAGCUAAAUUCCAUCUGAUAUCACCAAUGGUAUCCCUUGUUCUGUGUCCUCUUCUGGAUCCAGCUUGAAUUUCUGACAGUUCCCUGUAGAUAUACUCUACAACCACUUUUGAAUGAUCUUCAGCAAAAUUUUAUUUGUGUGUGAUAUUAAUGAUAUUGUUCAAUAAUUUUUGCAUUCUUUUCGAUCACCUAUCUUUGGAAUGGGCACCAGUAUGGAUCUAUUCUAGUUGGUGGGCCAGAUAGCUCUGUUCCAAAUUUCUUGGCAUCGAUGUGUGAGUGCUUCCAGUGCUGCAUCCUUUUGUUGAAACAUCUCAGUUGGUAUUCUGUCAAUUCCUGGAGCCUUGAUUUUUGCCAGUGCCUUCAGUGCAGCUUGGACUUCUUCCUUCAAUACCACUGGUUCUUGAUCACAUGCAACCUCCUGAAAUGGUUUAACGUCGACCAAUUCUUUUUGGUACAGUGACUCCAUGUAUUCCUUCUAUCUUCUUUUGAUGCUUCCUGCGUCAUUCAAUAUUUUGCCCACAGAAUCCUUCACUAUUCCAACUCAAGGCUUUAAUUUUUUUCUUUAGUUCUUUCAGCUUGAGAUAUGAUGAGUGUGUUCUUCCCUUUUGGCUUUCUAACUCCAGGUCUUUGCAUGUGUCAUUAUAAUACUUUAUUUUGUCUUCUUGAGUCACCCUUUGAAAUCUUAUGCUCAGCUCUUUUACUUCAUCAUUUGCUUUAGCUACUCUAUGUUCAAGAGCAAAUUUCAGAGUCUCCUCGACAUCGAUUUUGAUCUUUUUCUUUCUUUCCUGUCGUUUUAAUGACCUUUUUCUUUCUUCAUAUAUGAUAUCCUUGAUAUCCCACAACUCGUCUGGUCUUUGGUCAUUAGUGUUCAAUGCAUCAAAUCUAUUCUUGAGAUGGUCUCCGAAUUCAGGUGGGAUAUGCUCAAGGUUGUAUUUUGUCUCUCGUGAACUUGAUUUAAUUUUCUUCAGCUUCAACUUGAAGGUGCAUAUAAGGAAUUGAUGGUUUAUUCUGCAGUCGUCCUCUGUCCGUAUUCUGACAGAUGAUACUGAGUUUCUCCAUAGUCCCUUUCCACAGACAUAGUUGAUUUGAUUCCUGUGUAUUCCAUCCGGUAAAGUCCAUGUGUAUAGUCACCAUUUAUGUUGUUGAAAAAAAAGUAUUUGCAAUGAAUAAGUCAUUGGUCUUGGAAAAUUCUGUUAUACUAUCUUUAGAGUCGUUUCUAUCACCAAGGUCAUAUUUUUCAACUACCAAUCCUUCUUUGUUUCCAACUUUUGCAUUCCAAUCGCCAGUAAUAUCAGUGCAUCUUGAUUGUGUGUUUGAUCAAUUUCAGACUUCAGAAGUUGGUAAAAACCUUCAAUUUCUUCAUCUUUGGCAUUAGUGGUUGGUACAUAAACUUGAAUAAUAGUUGUAUGAACUGGUCCUCCUUGUAGGUAUAUGGAUAUUAUCCUAUCACUGACAGCGUUGUACUUCAGGAUAGAUCUUGAAAUCUUCUUUUUGAUGAUGAAUGUGACGCCAUACCUCUUCAAUUUGUCCUUACUGGCAGAGUAGACCAUAUGAUUUUCUGAUUCAAAGUGGCCAACACCAAUCGAUUUCAGCCCACUAAUGCCUAGAAUGUUGAUAUUUUUGCAGUCCAUUUCAUUUUGAAGAAUUCCAUUUUUUCUGCAUUCAUACUUCGUACACUCUACAUUCUGAUUAUUAAUGCUUGUUUGCAGCUGUUUCUUCUCAUUUUGAGUCAUGCCACAUCAGCUAAUUAAGGUCCCAAAAAGCUUUACUCCAUCCAUGUCUUUAAGGUUGACUCUGUUUUGAGGAGAUGGCUCUUCCCCAGUCAUAUUUUGCGUGCCUUCCAACCUGAGGGGCUUAUCUUAUGGUACUAUGUCAGACAACAUUCCACUGCUACUCAUAAGGUUUUCACUGGCCAAUUUUUAAAAAAUGUUUUAUUUAUUUUUUACUGUGCUUUAGAUGAAGGUUUAUGGAGCAAAUUAGUUUCUCAUUAAACAAUUAAUACACAUAUUAUUUUGUGACAUUGGUUGUCAGCCCCAGUCUCCCAUUCUCAACCCUGAGUUCCCCAUUACCAGCUUUCCUGUUCCCUCCUGCCUUCUUGUCCUUGCCCCAGGGUUGGUUUGCCCAUUUAGUCUCAUUUUGUUUUAUGUGCCUGUCUAAUCUUUGGCUGAAGGAUGAACCUCAGCAGUGACUUCAGUACUGAGUUAAAAGGGUGUCCAGGGGCCAAACUCUUGGGGUUGGCCAAAUUUUUUAGAAGGAGCUUGCCAGGUCCAUCUUUCUAGUCUGUCUUAGUCUGGAAGCUCCACUGAAACCUGUCCACCAUGGGUGACCCUGCUGGUUUUUGAAAUACCAGUGGCAUAGCUUCCAGCAUAACAGCAACACACAAGCCCCCACAGUAUGACAAACUGACAGACAAGUGGUGGUCAACGUAAUUAAUGUCAGUAAAUUGUACACUUAAUAUGGUUAAAGAGGCAUUUCUUGAUAUAUGUAUAUUAUGAUAAUCAGAUUUUUUUAGAAAGGCAAUAUCUGGAGAUACAUACCUAUGAAAACAUACCUUUUGUCUUUUUUAAGCAAUCAUACACAGAAAUGAUACUACUGCAGAUUGUUAUCAUGGUGAUUAUUACAACUUGGUGAUGGCUUAUCUUAAUUGUAGGUUCAUCUCUUUGUAUGGAUGAACAUACCUCUGGAAGGGUGAAUGUACAACCUAAACCCAAUAUAAUGAAAGUAGAGUCACUAACAUUAGUGUGAAAAAUCUAAUUAAAAGUUAUAAUCGAGGUGGUCUGCUGAGUCAAAAAAAAAAAACUGUAGUUACAAACUUAGAUGUUCCUGAGUGUCAGUCUUCUUAAAUCACAUGUCUUAUGAUGAAUGCAACUACUCUGAAAGAAUGACAACAAACUGAACAGAGUGUACCUGACAAAGCAGAAUUAAUGAGCCAGUCAGAACAAUAAUUGAAAACAAGCUAGAAUAUCAUCGAAGAGCUAAAGGAGGAUGUUGGUAACGUGAAGCAGGAAUGGACAGUUACAAAGAAUUAUUCCAAAAUACUAAAAAUAUAAGACUUCAAAUAAAUACCUUGAUGGGGGGAUUAAUAACAGAAUGCAUACAUGUGAAGAAUGAAUUAAUAAACUGGAAUACCAGGUUGAAUAACUCUCUCCAAAGGCACUAGGAAGGGAUAAAGAAAUGGAAAAUAUGGGGGAAAAGGUAAUAGACAUGGAGGAUGGGAUGAGAGGUGUUAAUUCAGUAUAAUAAGGGCCUCAGAAGGAGAGGAAAAAAAAGUAUCAACACUCGCCCUUUCUUGACCUUAGGUUCCCCAUUACCAGCUUUCUUGUGCCCUCCUGGCUUCUUGUCCUUGCCCCUGGGUUGGCACAUCCAUUGGUCUUAUUUUGUUUUGUUUAUGGGCCUGUCUGUUCAUUCAAAAAAAAAAAAAACUGUGGUUACAACCUUAGAUGUUGCUGAGCAUCGGUCCUCUUAAAUCACAUGCUUUAUGAGGGGGUAAGUAAUUGAACAUAACAACGACUGUAAGGAUGGCGCAGGACGGGCCAGUGUUUCGUUCUGUUGUGCAUAGGGUCGCUAUGAGUCAGAACCGACUCGACAGCACCUAACAACAACAACAAAGUAUUUGAAGAAAUAAAGACCAAGUAUUUCUUAGUCUUAAAGGAGUAUGAAAGACCUUAGUUUGAAAGCAUUCACAAUUUACAAAACAGAAUAUGAAAGAUCAAAUCUAUAUCUGUUGUUGUUGUUGUUAGGUGCUGUCGAGUCGGUUCUGAAACAUAGCGACCCUAUGCACAACAGAACGAAACACUGCCCGGUCCUGGACCAUCCUUACAAUUGUUCUUAUGCUUGAGCUCAUUGUUGCAGCCACUGUGUCAAUCCACCUCGUUGAGGGUCUUCCUCUUUUCCGCUGACCCUGUACUCUGCCAAGCAUGAUGUCCUUCUCCAGGGACUCAUCCCUCCUGACAACAUGUCCAAAGUAUGUAAGACGCAGUCUUGCCUUGCCUUUAAGGAGCAUUCUGGCCACACUUCUUCCAAGACAGAUUUGUUCGUUCUUUUGGCAGUCCAUGGUAUAUUCAAUAUUCUUCACCAACACCACAAUUCAAAGGAGUCAACUCUUCUUCCGUCUUCCUUGUUCAUUGUCCAGCCUUCACACGCAUAUGAUGUGAUUGAAAAUACCAUGGAUUGGGUCAGGCGCACCUUACUCUUCAGGGUGACAUCCUUGCUCUUCAACAAUUUGGAGAGGUCCUUUGCAGCAGAUUUGCUCAAUGCAAUGCAUCUUUUGAUUUCUUGACUGCUGCUUCCAUGGGUGUUGAUUGUGGAUCCAAGUAAAAUGAAAUCCUUGACAACUUCAGUCUUUUCUCCCUUUAUCAUGAUGUUGCUCAUUGGUCCAUUUGUGAGGAUUUUCAUUUUCUUUAUGUUGAGGUGUAAUCCGUACUGAAGGCUGUGGUCUUUGAUCUUCAUUAGUAAGUGCUUCAAGUCUUCUUCACUUUCAGCAAGCAAGGUUGUGUCAUCUGCAUAAUGCAGGUUGUUAAUGAGUCUUCCUCCAACCCCGAUGCCCUGUUCUUCUUCGUAUAGUCCCCAGCUUCUUACAUUAUUUGUUCAGCAUACAGAUUAAAUAGGUAUGGUGAAAGAAUGCAACUUGACGCACACCUUUCCUGACGUUAAACCAAUCAGUAUCCCCUUGUUCUGUCCGAACAACUGCCUCUUGAUCCAUGUAAAGGUUCCUCAUGAGCACAAUUAAGCGUUCUGGAAUUCCCAUUCUUCGCAGUGUUAUCCAUAGUUUGUUAUGAUCCACACAGUGGAAUGCCUUUGCAUAAUCAAUAAAACACAGGUAAACAUCCUUCUGGUAUUCUCUGUUAUCAGCCAGGAUCCAUCUGACAUCAGCAAUGAUAUCCCUGGUUCCACGUCCUCUUCUGAAACCAGCCUGAAUUUCUGGCAGUUCCCUGUAGAUAUACUGCUGCCGCUGUUUUUGAAUGAUCGUCAGCAAAAUUUUGCUUGCAUGUGAUAUUAAUGAUAUUGUUCUAUAAUUUCCACGUUUGGUUGGAUCACCUUUCUUGGGAAUAGGCAUAAAUAUGGAUCUCUUCCAGUCAGUUGGCCAGGAAGCUGUCUUCCCUAUUUCUUGGCAUAGACGAGUGAGCGCCUCCAGCGCUGCAUCUGUUUGUUGAAACAUCUCAGUUGAUAUUCCAUCAAUUCCUGGAGCCUUGUUUUUUGCCAGUGCCUUCAGGUGAGCUUGGACUUCUUCCUUCAGUACCAUCAGUUCCUGAUCAUAUGCCACCUCUUGAAAUGGUUGAAUAUCAAUUAAUUCUUUUUGGUAUAAUGACUCUGUGUAUUCCUUCCAUCUUCUUUUGAUGCUUCCUGCGUCGUUUAAUAUUUUCCUCAUGGAAUCCUUCACUAUUGCAACUCGAGGCUUGAAUUUUUUCUUCAGUUCUUAAAGCUUGAGAAACGCCGAGCGUGUUCUUCCCUUUUGGUUUUCCAUCUCCAGCUCUUUGCACAUGUCAUUAUAAUACUUUACUUUGUCUUCUCGAGAUGCCCUUUGAAAUCUUCUGUUCAGUUCUUUUACUUCAUCAAUUCUUCCUUUUGCUUUAGC